UGUAACGCAAACUCCGCUAUCCGGAGCUUGUAGACUCCUCCCCGCGGAGUUUGUGCGCCGCUUGCCAUAAGCCGGGGGAACCGUUGUGGAAUGUUUCAACACCAAUGGUGGGCCUGGAUUCUAGUCGAGCCCCUAUUACCAUGGAAACUAGCUUGUUAACGCUGUCACCGCUGGCGCCACGGGCCAGACAGGGGGGCGGUGAUAGCCCGGGUGCGAAAUGUGAUCAUCCCGCCCACUCCCCGCAUGUUUGUUUACUCAUUUCGAGGAAAAAUGGCGGCUCGCCCCAUAUGGGCUUCGGCUUUCGGCUUCGACUUUCGGCUCCUCCUAGGCUCCUCCUGAGUCCGUUUGUGCGGAUUUUGGACGGCGCUGGCCUCUCCACUUCAGGAGAAGGCGGUAGUAUAUUUUGUCCUGGGGAGAAAGGACGUUUUUGCCUGCUUGCCCACUGGAUACGGCAAGACAGAACCUUACGUAACUUGGUCCCUCUUGUCAAUGUCUUGGGGAAACCCUGCGUCACGCUUCGCCGUUGCUGUUGCUGUUUCAAGGUCAAGUACAACUUAGGCGAGAAAGACGCUGAUGUCAAGCGAGGAGAGUGGAAAUACAGCCUGGUUUUCACAUCGUCAGGGCAAGGACAUUCUGUCCUUGGUCAGAGGCAAUUUCUGAAUUCGAAAAUUAUCUUGGCGAGAGCUGACAAACGGGGCGUGGUUGGUGUUGCCGUGGACGAACAGCACUGCAUAAUGUCUUGGGGCGGAGGGUUCAGAACCGGGGUCAAGACUCUCACACAGCUACUGAGGAGAUAAGGAUAGACAUCCUGUCAUCACUGUGUUAUGGAUUCCAACACAAUUACUGUUUCAGAGUCAUCCAAUCGGCCUAAUUGUACCUUCAAGUUAUGACAUUGAAAAGGAGUUCGGAUAGAUGCUUGUAGCAGAAAAAAAAUUGUCAAAAUAUUUCAGAGGGUCUGUCACAAGAAGAGACUUGUUGUGACUUAAGUGGAGAUUCUUCAACAUUACCUUAGAAUGAAUCACUGGACCAAGUCUCUUACAUCAGAACUCUAAGACGAACUAUUACAAUUUAUAGCAAUUCGUCGUCUACAAAUCAGCUAUAUAUCAUGUUAAGAGAACCACUACAAACAGUGAUGAGAUUUCUUGGAGGAGAUGCAUCCCAUUAUGUACAACUUUAAUGUAGUUACUCAGGAUUUUGGUCUGGCUACAACUGAAAGAAUUGUUGAUUCUUGUGCUACCUUCGCCUUCCUAACAAGAGAAGACAUUAUGACAGACAUUGGGUUGUGGAAUGAAGUAGUCAAUAUGGUCUUCACAAACAUUUCAGGACUGUAUAGAGGAAUGCAUAUUUGUAUACAGAUCAAACUGCCUUACAGACCAUAAUAUAUUCUGCUGAUGCCUCCCUAAGCACUGAGUUACAAACUUAUAUACAAAAUUUAUGAGUACACACAAUGCGUGUAUACAAACCAGACUAUCUUGCAGACUAUGAUUAUACAUGUAUUCAGAUAAUACUUGCCUAAGCACUGAGUUACAAACUUAUAUACAAAAUGUAUGAGUACACACGUGUGUAUACAAACCAGACUAUCUUGCAGACUAUGAUUAUACAUGUAUUCAGAUAAUACUUGCCUAAGCACUGAGUUACAAACUUAUAUACAAAAUGUAUGAGUACACACAAUGCGUGUAUAAAAACCAGACUAUCUUGCAGACUAUGAUUAUAUUCAGAUAAUACUUGCCUAAGCACUGAGUUACAAACUUAUUUACAAAAUGUAUGAGUACACACAAUGCGUGUAUACAAACCAGACUAUGUUGCAGAUAUCAUAUUCAAUUAAUGCUUGACUAUGACUAAGUACUGAGUUACGGUCGGUAUGCAGUAUACAUAAUGUAUGUGUGCAUACUAACCAAGCUAUUAUACAGACUGUAGUGUAUAUGAUAGAAAUGCAUGGCAAAUAAACAUCUGCUUUGA
This is a long non-coding RNA of Branchiostoma floridae (Florida lancelet), 1959 nucleotides long. RefSeq lists it as uncharacterized. Lineage: Eukaryota; Metazoa; Chordata; Leptocardii; Amphioxiformes; Branchiostomatidae. The transcript has 2 exons. The record is from RefSeq and is a predicted model, not a curated record.